Molecule: ribosomal RNA, 634 nt
Filed under: uncultured bacterium
Lineage: Bacteria
Description: bacterial SSU rRNA
Rfam family: Bacterial small subunit ribosomal RNA
Source: RNAcentral
UAGANUUCCACGUGUAGCAGUGAAAUGCGUAGAGAUGCGGAGGAAUACCGGUGGCGAAGGCAGCCUCCUGGGAUAACACUGACGUUCAUGCCCGAAAGCGUGGGUAGCAAACAGGAUUAGAUACCCUGGUAGUCCACGCCCUAAACGAUGUCGAUUAGCUGUUGGGCAGCAUGACUGCUUAGUAGCGAAGCUAACGCGUGAAAUCGACCGCCUGGGGAGUACGGUCGCAAGAUUAAAACUCAAAGGAAUUGACGGGGACCCGCACAAGCGGUGGAUGAUGUGGAUUAAUUCGAUGCAACGCGAAGAACCUUACCUGGUCUUGACAUGUACGGAACCCUCCAGAGACGGAGGAGUGCCUUCGGGAGCCGUAACACAGGUGCUGCAUGGCUGUCGUCAGCUCGUGUCGUGAGAUGUUGGGUUAAGUCCCGCAACGAGCGCAACCCUUGUCAUUAGUUGCCAUCAUUAAGUUGGGCACUNUAAUGAGACUGCCGGUGACAAGCCGGAGGAAGGUGGGGAUGACGUCAAGUCCUUAUGGCCCUUAUGACCAGGGCUUCACACGUCAUNCAAUGGUCGGUACAGAGGGUAGCCAAGCCGCGAGGCGGAGCCAAUCUCACAAAACCGAUNGUAGUCCGGA